Serinus canaria (Common canary) is the source of this 1723-nucleotide RNA transcript. RefSeq lists it as uncharacterized. NCBI's taxonomy places the organism in Eukaryota, Metazoa, Chordata, Aves, Passeriformes, Fringillidae. The transcript is spliced from 2 exons. The record is from RefSeq and is a predicted model, not a curated record.
GGGAGCGCUGCGGGUGGCCCCGCAGGUGCUGGCUGCGCUGGGACACCGCGCGGCACCAAUGUCCUUGUCGCUGCCCAGCAGCCGUGCCACCAGCCGCCCGGAGAGCGGGCCAUUAAUCGAGUUUUCCACACGGCUGAUGGUGCCCCGCAGCUCUGUAGCGGCCGAGGUGACACCUCGCUCCACGCCCUGUGACACUCCGUGCCGUGGAGGUGACACCUCGCUCCACGCCCUGUGACACUCCAGCUGGCAGAGCCAGCACCAGGCACUUGGAGCCAGUGCAAAAUCCUGGCUGCUCCCACAGCUCCUCCUUACCUGGCCAUGCCAGAGCCCCACGUUGGGUGUCCCACCUGAGAGAACGCUGCUCAGCCAGGGACUGGACACCCAGCAGCUCUGCAGGCAGAGCAGGGGCUGAAGCCAGGAGCUCCUGGGGAGCUGCUAGCCUGUCCCUGAGCUGAUCCCUUCUGGGAUGUAUUUAUGGAAGGCAAUCAGCCCACCAGCUCUAGGGGCCCAGGUGAUCCCUGUGAUUAUCCACCAGCCUCAGGGGUGGGAGUAGCUGAAGAGGCCUUUCCCUGUGCCACUCACCUGGAGUUUCUAAUCCACCCAAUAUGUGAGGAGAAUGCAACUGCAGCUCCGGCCUUUGGGCUGGUAAUUAAUAAUCAGUGACAACGAUGGGUUGUGAUUACUAGGGACAAGAUCCAGCUCACUAUCUCUCUACUGUGACCACCUAGAAGUUCCACCUUCCCUCAUGCUGUGCAAUCUUUGACUAGCAAAUGAGAUUAAACCUGUUCUGAUUUUGUGGUCAUGCUUGUAACCUGUUUUCCCCCUGGGUAUGUUUGGGAAUCUUCUGACUACAAAUCAUUCUCUUAAGACACCACAAAGUUUGAAGUAAACAGUGAUUUAGAGCUUAACGUUGGCCAGAUCCACGCCAACAGCAAUUCUCAUUCAUGAGCUGCAUUUGCUUCCUGCAGCUCAUGGGUUAAUGUUUUUUCCUGUCUAUGCCCAGUAACUCUCACAUGUCUUUAACACAACUUGAAGUCAGCAUGAAACCCCCAGGUGAGCUGCUGUCAGUUUGUACAUUUGCAUACAUGGGCUUUUUGUUUAAAUCCAGUUCAUAUACCAUGGAAUUAAUGAGCUCCUGGGCAGGGUACGGGCAGCACCUGGCCCUGCUUUGGGCAGCAGGGUGCCCAGGGUGUGCUGGUGAGCCUGGUCACAGGGGAGCUGCAGGUCUGCUCUGGUGGCUGCCAGCCUCCACAGCUCCCCUGUGUGCCAGGGCUGUGGAGCAUCCUCUGCUCUGUGCCCCCAGGGACAGGCUGGGGUUUGGCUCCACAGCGAGGCCCCGCAGCCAAACCCCGGCUUUGGGCUGUGAGAGCCCCAGGAGGGGCACAGGAACCUUCCCUGGCCUUGCCCUCCUCCUCCUCCUCUUCUGCAUGAGGAAGGACAUGGGGCACUCCUGGGGGUGUCUGGAGCCUGAUUGCAUGGGCACAGCAAUUUCAAAUACUCUAAAGGCACAGGACUUAUUACUUGGCAUGUGGCUGUGAAUUACUGUGUGUUCCAAGAACAGAUGUGAAAAUACUUAUUUUUCUGGUGUGCUGUGAUUUUAAUAUUGUUAAGUUCAAUUUUUUUGUAAACACUACUGAAACCUGACUGCAACAUCUGCAGGGACAGUGCUACCUUUUAUUUACACUCAGGUUAUGUAGCUGCUUUAAUUAAAGAGUAAACAAUC